AGGCCACCGCGACCGAGCCGAGCCAGGCUAAGGGACCAGUGUCUCCCUGCCCCCACCCCACCUCUAGGAGCUCUGGAGCCUUAGGACCAUGGACGCUCUCAAUAGGAACCAAAUAGGCCCUGGAUGCAAGACCCAGACCAUGGUGCAGAAAGGACCCUUGGACCUGAUCGAGACAGGCAAAGGGCUGAAAGUGCAAACGGACAAACCCCACCUGGUGAGCCUGGGCAGUGGGCGACUCAGCACAGCCAUCACCCUCCUGCCGCUGGAGGAAGGGAGGACGGUGAUUGGCUCUGCAGCCAGAGACAUCUCACUACAGGGCCCAGGCCUGGCUCCAGAGCACUGCUACAUCGAGAACCUGCGGGGCACCCUCACCCUCUACCCCUGUGGCAAUGCCUGCACUAUUGAUGGGCUCCCUGUCCGGCAGCCUACCCGGCUCACUCAGGGCUGCAUGUUGUGCCUGGGUCAGUCCACCUUCCUUCGCUUUAACCACCCGGCUGAAGCCAAGUGGAUGAAAAGCAUGAUUCCAGCAGGGGGCCGAGCCCCUGGGCCCCCCUAUAGCCCUGUUCCUGAAUCAGAAAGUCUGGUAAAUGGGAACCACACCCCACAGACUGCAACACGGGGACCCUCUGCCUGUGCCAGCCACAGUUCCCUGGUGAGCUCUAUUGAGAAGGACCUGCAAGAGAUCAUGGACUCACUGGUGCUAGAGGAGCCUGGAGCUGCUGGCAAGAAGCCUGCCGCAACCUCUCCACUGUCGCCGAUGGCUAAUGGUGGGCGCUACCUGCUGUCUCCCCCAACCAGCCCCGGCGCCAUGUCUGUGGGCUCCAGCUAUGAGAACACCUCUCCAGCCUUCUCUCCACUCUCUUCACCAGCCAGCAGUGGAAGCUGUGCCAGUCACUCACCCAGUGGGCAAGAGCCAGGACCUUCUGUGCCCCCGCUGGUACCUGCCCGUUCCUCCAGCUACCAUCUGGCCCUACAGCCCCCACAGUCCCGCCCAAGUGGUGCUCGCUCCGAGAGUCCUCGGCUGAGCAGGAAAGGGGGCCAUGAGAGGCCUCCCAGUCCUGGCCUCCGGGGUCUGCUGACAGACAGCCCUGCAGCUACUGUCUUGGCGGAGGCCCGGAGAGCCACUGAGAGCCCCCGGCUGGGUGGGCAGCUGCCUGUGGUGGCCAUCAGCCUGAGUGAAUACCCAGCUUCUGCACGAAGAUGCACCUAGCACCAAGCUCCAGGGAGAGGUGCUAGCCCUGGAAGAAGAGCGGGCUCAGGUGCUGGGGCGCGUGGAGCAGCUCAAGGUCCGUGUGAAGGAGCUAGAGCAGCAGCUGCA
RNAcentral lists this small RNA (1318 nucleotides) under Pan troglodytes (chimpanzee). RNAcentral's name for it is "processed transcript". Lineage: Eukaryota; Metazoa; Chordata; Mammalia; Primates; Hominidae. The record is from RNAcentral.